GGGCCCGUAGUCGAGCCAGGACCAAGACGUGGGCCUUCGGAGCCCAAAAUCGUGGGUUCAAAUCCCACCGGGCCCGCCA
This 79-nucleotide transfer RNA is filed under the name Candidatus Bathyarchaeota archaeon. Its description in RNAcentral is "tRNA-Arg". It matches the Rfam family "tRNA". From Rfam's summary of the family: Transfer RNA (tRNA) molecules are approximately 80 nucleotides in length. Their secondary structure includes four short double-helical elements and three loops (D, anti-codon, and T loops). Further hydrogen bonds mediate the characteristic L-shaped molecular structure. tRNAs have two regions of fundamental functional importance: the anti-codon, which is responsible for specific mRNA codon recognition, and the 3' end, to which the tRNAs corresponding amino acid is attached (by aminoacyl-tRNA synthetases). tRNAs cope with the degeneracy of the genetic code in two manners: having more than one tRNA (with a specific anti-codon) for a particular amino acid; and 'wobble' base-pairing, i.e. permitting non-standard base-pairing at the 3rd anti-codon position. The record is from RNAcentral. Lineage: Archaea; Thermoproteati; Candidatus Bathyarchaeota.